RNAcentral lists this long non-coding RNA (220 nucleotides) under Brassica napus (rape). RNAcentral describes it as "long non-coding RNA (BNAP_LNC024182)". The record is from RNAcentral. Lineage: Eukaryota; Viridiplantae; Streptophyta; Magnoliopsida; Brassicales; Brassicaceae.
AAGGAGGAACAGAGGGAGCUGAAACAAAAUCAUCAAGACGAAAUUGAUUGAUCAAAGUAAAGGAUGGGAUUGAUUGUGUAGAGGGGGAUCGGUUUCUACGGGAUCGGAGGGAAGAAGACGAAGUGGUAGCGAAGAUGACGAUGGCUUCUAAACAAACUAAGCACAACGGAAAGCAAGCCUGUCUAAACAAAAGCCCAACCCAAAGCCAUUACUAAAUGAC